AUCAACAAGGAGUGUAUCUACUUUUAUCAAAGAUGGAAUUCUUUCUUUCCUACUUUAGUCUUUGAUGAUUUUAGGGACACUGACUUUUAAUAACCUAAUAACCUAUUUCAAUUAUUUCAUCUUCAUUUCUUCUUUCAUCCAGUUCAGGUCUGAUAAACAGAAACCUCAAAAUCUUUUGGUUCAAAAGUUAUAUGCAAACUAAUCCUAAUUCCUUUUCUUGCACAUUAGUUACCGACAAAAUUCGUAGCCCCUUAAGCCACCUAAAUAAUAGUUUUUAAGUGAAACUAUUGUCUUUUUUAACAUAGCACAAGCCCUCUUGUUUGGGGAUAACCAUGGUAAUAAGUAAUUUCAAAUAUUGCAUGCUGCUGUCACCUGUAAAUUAUAUCUGAUCUGACUUGCCAUCUAUACUUAUUUUCAGCUCUUUCUGCAAGCCUUGAUGAUAUUCUAGGAAUAGUAUCUGUCUUGAAGAACACGUAGUAGUUAACUUUUGUAAAUCUGUGCUUUAUUGGAAGGAUGGAUGCUACUUGAAAGCAAGUCUUGACUCAUCAAGAUGACAAGUGUGUAUGAGUGUUAAAAUUUCUUCACUUGUGAUUGUCAUAGCUUUACAUAUCUACAAGAGGUUUAUUGAUGUAUUUAUUAGUGAUUGCUUUUAUAACCAUUUGGAGGUUACCAAACUAUCAAUUAAGGUGAACAGAAUUGGCUGCAAUUAUAUACAGUCAACCCCGCAUGGCUGAAUCCAUCAUCCUUUAUCACCAUGUCAUAACCGGUAGAGGCUAUUGGUAAGUUUAUGUUACCAUUUGUUGAGUUUGAUUGCACAACUGAUUAGUUCAUGGACUUCAAUCAAAUUUUGAUUAUAUUCAUACAUACAUAUAUGUGAUUGAUUUGUUGAAAUAUGUAUAAUAUUAUGCAUAUAAAGUUUUUGUUAGUAAAAUCUACUCUUCAGAUAGCUCAUGGUCAAGACUAAUCAUCCUCAUAAGAUGGGUUUGGACAUCUUUUGUAAAGAUGUUGACUGCGUAGAUCACGCUCAUGGACGAGCUUGGCUAUCCACAUCUAUCAGCUCAUUCAUGAUUAUGAAAAGCCGGACGAAUUAACCAGAGUGAAUGUCUUCCAUGUCUAGAGACUUGCUACAAAUAUUUUACGAGUUCCAGCAUGGAAACACUGAAUAUUGUAUUGGGGGAGAAAACUCAAAAAUUUGAGAUAUACUACCAAUAAAGAAUAUUAAUGAAGAACAGGAGAUGCAUUUUUGGCUUCUGAAUUUUCGACAUUGGGUUUGGUUUUAGUAGAAUAAUCAAGACCUACUCUCAUUUGAUUAUUCCUCCAUGAUAACGAUUAAUGAGAGUGAGACAUCAUGGCAGAAACCACAAAUACCACAAAUGUUACAUCAAGCUUCAUCAUAGUUUGUGGAUAAGUAUUUUGUAAUCAAGAUUUGUAGUGAUCAGCUGUUAACAACAAUGUGAUUGUCAUGCCUAGCUAUCACUGUGACUAAACGCUAAAAAUACUGCUUAUUUUUAAGAUGAUAUUAAUUAUUUUGUGAAUUGUCUUUCAUUCUGUGAUACUAUAAAAAGGUGCUCAAGGCUCUCUUAACAAAACCACAAGAACAUGUCUAGAGGCUUUCUACGAGUAAUAUAUAGUUUCAACAUGAAAUCAUUGCUUCCCUCAAAGUUCACCACCUUCCCAACAUUGACGAUGAUGGUGCUUUCACUGUUAGUACUAUUAUUCUCCAAUCUUUGUUUCCCUGUUUUCAACUUGGCUACAGCUUCAAAGAUUGAAUCCCAAUGGAGAGCUCUUCUUCAAUGGACGGCCGCCCUUGAAACACAAGAACUCCUUGACACCUGGACAUCAAAGACCAGUCCA
Dioscorea cayenensis subsp. rotundata (Guinea yam) is the source of this 1854-nucleotide long non-coding RNA. RefSeq lists it as uncharacterized. The record is from RefSeq and is a predicted model, not a curated record. NCBI's taxonomy places the organism in Eukaryota, Viridiplantae, Streptophyta, Magnoliopsida, Dioscoreales, Dioscoreaceae. The transcript has 4 exons.